This 255-nucleotide ribosomal RNA is filed under the name uncultured bacterium. RNAcentral describes it as "partial 16S ribosomal RNA". The record is from RNAcentral.
CUGCUGCCUCCCGUAGGAGUUUGGGCCGUGUCUCAGUCCCAAUGUGGCCGUUCACCCUCUCAGGCCGGCUACUGAUCGUUGCCUUGGUAGGCCAUUACCCCACCAACUAGCUAAUCAGACGCGGAACCAUCGUAUACCACCAGAGUUUUUCACACCGCUUCAUGCGAAGCUGUGCGCUUAUGCGGUAUUAGCACCUAUUUCUAAGUGUUAUCCCCCAGUAUACGGCAGGUUUUCCACGCGUUACUCACCCGCCCG